Molecule: long non-coding RNA, 1363 nt
Filed under: Panax ginseng (ginseng)
Lineage: Eukaryota; Viridiplantae; Streptophyta; Magnoliopsida; Apiales; Araliaceae
Description: long non-coding RNA (PGIN_LNC003071)
Source: RNAcentral
AACUUUAGCUAAAAUAUUAAUCUUCGUGUAUUAUUUCUGAUCCACGUCAUUCAAGUAGCACAUAGUGUUACCUUCAAUCCUUAACCUGCAAAAAUUGUUAUUUGCAAGGUUGAGCUUGACAGCCCAACAAAAUCUUACAGUUUUUAUGCAUCACGUAGCACAUAGUAACAUGCUCAACAUAUAUCUCAUAAACAUUGGACUAACAUAACAUACAUGUUACAGUUCAUAUAACAAGUAUAAAGAUUGAGUUCCUUACUCAAUCAGCAUGCUUUACUCAAUCAACGUAGUCAUAAGUUGACUUUAACAUUUCAUACAUUCAACAUAUAUAUAACACAACAUGCUCUUUGCAAUAAAGAUUUAAAACGGUUAAUCACUAAGUUCACAUAACAAAUAGGAACUGAAAGACUUGCCUUGAUCGUUGUUUACCAAUAACAGUUUAAUCAGCUUACAGUUAUCUGCACUUCACAUGCCCUACACAAUUAUAUAAUCAUGCAAAUCAACUAUUAGUCACAUAGCAACGCAUAGUAAUUGUAAUGUAAACUUUAAUCUAUGUCUCAUAACCCUUCCUAUCAUAAAUACACAAUGUUCAAUUUGAUUGUGUUAACUUUCAACUUAUAUCUCACUGUAUUUCAUAUUUGAAGUUUAUUCAAGUGUUUAAGUCUUGGUAGGAAUCAUUAUUGGUCUUAUAUUAACACUAUUCAAUAACUUAUUAUUUUCAUUUCAUUUGAUUUAAAACACUUUUUACGUUCAUUAUCACUUAUCACGGCGUUUCGACGUUUAUUUGUCACACGCCCAAUUUGUCUCUCUUGUGUGUGCUUAGUAUGCGUAUACAACUUAUCUAAUAUAUCAUUUAUUAAUGUUAAGCAUCAUUAUACUUCAUAAUAUUCAUGUUCUAUAUCUUAGAACAACAUCUAUUAUCGUCGACAUCACUAUACUUGUGUAUGUACAUGUCCGACGCCCUCCGAUUGCCUCCGAAUACACAUUAGUCACAAAGAUGACCAUUUUGACUACUGUUACCGACCUCAAAUUGAAAAACUUAAAGAAUAAAAGUUGUAGGUCUAUUCGUUAUCGUUCCGGAUCAUCUUCAAUCACCUCAAUCGGAGUUCGUAUGAAAACGUUAUGCCUAUUUUACUAAAACAGGUCAAAGUAGUCACACUUGACAUACUUUGGGCGCAGCUGCGCCCAAUUAAGCCUUGGGCACAGCGCAACUGCGCCCUACAGUGCAGCUGCGCCUCAAAUGACUUAGGGCACAGCCCAGCUGCGCCUGUUAGCAGAAACGGGACCUGAAGAUACUAUUCUUCGCGAUUUUUGACCCUUUUUCUCCUACUAAUCUUCAUAACUUGAGUUAUACACAUCCAAAUUA